CAGAUUGAACGCUGGCGGCAGGCUUAACACAUGCAAUCGAGCGGUAGCACAGGGGAGCUUGCUCCCCGGGUGACGAGCGGCGGACGGGUGAGUAAUGUCUGGGAAACUGCCUGAUGGAGGGGGAUAACUACUGGAAACGGUAGCUAAUACCACAUAACGUCGCAAGACCAAAGAGGGGGACCUUCGGGCCUCUUGCCAUCAGAUGUGCCCAGAUGGGAUUAGCUAGUAGGUGGGGUAAUGGCUCACCUAGGCGACGAUCCCUAGCUGGUCUGAGAGGAUGACCAGCCACACUGGAACUGAGACACGGUCCAGACUCCUACGGGAGGCGGCAGUGGGGAAUAUUGCACAAUGGGCGCAAGCCUGAUGCAGCCAUGCCGCGUGUGUGAAGAAGGCCUUCGGGUUGUAAAGCACUUUCAGCGAGGAGGAAGGUGGUGAACUUAGUACGUUCAUCAAUUGACGUUACUCGCAGAAGAAGCACCGGCUAACUCCGUGCCAGCAGCCGCGGUAAUACGGAGGGUGCAAGCGUUAAUCGGAAUUACUGGGCGUAAAGCGCACGCAGGCGGUUUGUUAAGUCAGAUGUGAAAUCCCCGGGCUCAACCUGGGAACUGCAUUUGAAACUGGCAAGCUAGAGUCUCGUAGAGGGGGGUAGAAUUCCAGGUGUAGCGGUGAAAUGCGUAGAGAUCUGGAGGAAUACCGGUGGCGAAAGCGGCCCCCUGGACGAAGACUGACGCUCAAGUGCGAAAGCGUGGGGAGCAAACCAGAUAGAUACCCUGGUAGUCCACGCUGUAAACCAUGUC
Molecule: ribosomal RNA, 797 nt
Filed under: uncultured Serratia sp.
Lineage: Bacteria; Pseudomonadati; Pseudomonadota; Gammaproteobacteria; Enterobacterales; Yersiniaceae
Description: bacterial SSU rRNA
Rfam family: Bacterial small subunit ribosomal RNA
Source: RNAcentral